UACGUAGGGUGCAAGCGUUGUCCGGAAUUAUUGGGCGUAAAGAGCUCGUAGGCGGUCUGUCGCGUCGGAUGUGAAAACCCAGGGCUCAACCCUGGGCCUGCAUUCGAUACGGGCAGACUAGAGUUCGGUAGGGGAGACUGGAAUUCCUGGUGUAGCGGUGAAAUUCGUAGAUAUUGGGAAGAACACCGAUGGCGAAGGCAGCCAUCUGGACCAACACUGACGCUGAGGCGCGAAAGCGUGGGGAGCAAACAGG
This 253-nucleotide ribosomal RNA is filed under the name uncultured bacterium. Its description in RNAcentral is "partial 16S ribosomal RNA". It matches the Rfam family "Bacterial small subunit ribosomal RNA", at positions 524 to 776 of the family's 1533-position model. The record is from RNAcentral.